RNAcentral lists this non-coding RNA (30 nucleotides) under Rattus norvegicus (Norway rat). Lineage: Eukaryota; Metazoa; Chordata; Mammalia; Rodentia; Muridae. The record is from RNAcentral.
UGUCAGAUAUCCUGGAACUAAUUGCAUGGC